UCAACAUGUAUUGAUUGAACAUGUAUUUAUAUUCAUUUCUUACAAGGUAAAUCUUACAAACUCUUCCUUAAAUACACUACUUUGAAAAAAAUAUAUAAUCAUUGGCACUUGACACUAAUCAAUGACUUUUGAAUAUAGAUACAGUCCAACCAAGCCACCAGCUAUUGCAUGAUAUGGGAAUAUCUAAAGUCGUGGAGCUGCUUUCCAAAGUGCUGGAAGAAAAUAAAUUGAUGAAAGCGGAAAUUACCAACCUGGGGAGUGAAGUGAGGGCGCUUAGGAGAGAGAUGGUGAGGCCGGUAGCACCAGAAGCUGCCGCUUCGUCCAUCAAGCUGCCUCUGAGGACAAUGGAGGAGUUUCAAUUAGCAGAGGCUGUUAUGAGAGAAACCCCCUGCGAAAAACAAAAGAUGAUCUUAACAUUCAGUCUAAUUGGAGGGCACACUGCAGAAGAGGCCGUAAGAAGGAUGUUGCAGAGUGGCCUAACAAAUAACCUGGCGUGUCGCUUCAUAGUGCAGUAAAAUGAGACUGAGAGGACAGUGAAACCACUGCACUGCGCACCAGCGUUAAGGGUCUGUGGUUAGGAAACAAAUUGCUGACUUUUUGCCUGGUGCACUAUGCCAUGGUGGCCAUGGCCAUGUUACAGCUUACCGUCGCCAUGUUGGUAAUUCUUGACCGGGUUUGUUUUUCUUUCUUUCAGCUGCACUCCAAAAACAGCUGCCAGGGACCACCCAUAUUGUUUUUUCAGGGACACUGAAGAAGUGGCUUAAAUAUGCACCGGAGAGAGAGGGAGGUGGAGGGAGGCGAACAAAUGAACGCGAUCAGGCGCCGCAGGAUCCUCGACCAUGAAUGAAUGU
Gadus chalcogrammus (walleye pollock) is the source of this 851-nucleotide long non-coding RNA. RefSeq lists it as uncharacterized. NCBI's taxonomy places the organism in Eukaryota, Metazoa, Chordata, Actinopteri, Gadiformes, Gadidae. The record is from RefSeq and is a predicted model, not a curated record. The transcript has 4 exons.